UACGGGAGGCAGCAGUGAGGAAUAUUGGUCAAUGGACGAGAGUCUGAACCAGCCAAGUAGCGUGCAGGAUGACGGCCCUAUGGGUUGUAAACUGCUUUUAUAAGGGAAUAAAGUUAGUCUCGUGAGACUUUUUGCAUGUACCUUAUGAAUAAGGAUCGGCUAACUCCGUGCCAGCAGCCGCGGUAAUACGGAGGAUCCGAGCGUUAUCCGGAUUUAUUGGGUUUAAAGGGAGCGUAGGCGGAUUGUUAAGUCAGUUGUGAAAGUUUGCGGCUCAACCGUAAAAUUGCAGUUGAUACUGGCAGUCUUGAGUGCAGUAGAGGUGGGCGGAAUUCGUGGUGUAGCGGUGAAAUGCUUAGAUAUCACGAAGAACUCCGAUUGCGAAGGCAGCUCACUGGAGUGUAACUGACGCUGAUGCUCGAAAGUGUGGGUAUCAAACAGGAUUAGAUACCCUGGUAGUCCACACAGUAAACGAUGAAUACUCGCUGUUUGCGAUAUACAGUAAGCGGCCAAGCGAAAGCAUUAAGUAUUCCACCUGGGGAGUACGCCGGCAACGG
RNAcentral lists this ribosomal RNA (554 nucleotides) under uncultured bacterium. RNAcentral describes it as "bacterial SSU rRNA". It matches the Rfam family "Bacterial small subunit ribosomal RNA", at positions 340 to 894 of the family's 1533-position model. The record is from RNAcentral.